This 30-nucleotide non-coding RNA is filed under the name Mus musculus (house mouse). The record is from RNAcentral. Lineage: Eukaryota; Metazoa; Chordata; Mammalia; Rodentia; Muridae.
UCCUGGUGAUCAUAGCGUGGCUUUGAACUC